This 306-nucleotide ribosomal RNA is filed under the name uncultured Bacteroidota bacterium. RNAcentral's name for it is "bacterial SSU rRNA". It matches the Rfam family "Bacterial small subunit ribosomal RNA", at positions 28 to 351 of the family's 1533-position model. Lineage: Bacteria; Pseudomonadati; Bacteroidota. The record is from RNAcentral.
GAUGAACGCUAGCGGCAGGCCUAAUACAUGCAAGUCAAGGGGCCAGCAAUGGCACCGGCGGACGGGUGAGUAACGCGUACACAACGUACCUUUGAGCGGGGGAUAGCAUUGGGAAACUGGUGGUAAAACCCCAUGGAGUUGAGGGAUGGCAUUAUUUUCAACUAAAGGUUACACUCAAAGAUCGGUGUGCGUCCGAUUAGCUAGUUGGCGGGUAACGGCCCACCAAGGCGACGAUCGGUAGGGGGUGUGAGAGCAUGACCCCCCACAUGGUACGUGAGACACGGACCCAACUCCUACGGGAGGCUG